Perognathus longimembris pacificus (Pacific pocket mouse) is the source of this 240-nucleotide long non-coding RNA. RefSeq lists it as uncharacterized. The record is from RefSeq and is a predicted model, not a curated record. Lineage: Eukaryota; Metazoa; Chordata; Mammalia; Rodentia; Heteromyidae. The transcript has 3 exons.
GCUAGGGUCCACUUUGAGUUUUCUGCAUGUGGCUGCCCAGUUUUCCCAGCAUCAAUAGUUGAAGAGGCUCUGUUUUUUUCCAUUGUAUGUCUUUGGCUCCUUUGUCAAAUAUCAGCUGACUGCAAGUGUGCAGAUUUAUUUCUGGCUCUUCUACCCUAUUCCAUUGAUCUUCAGGUCUGUUUUUGUGCCAGUACUAGGCUGUUUUUGUUAUGAUGGCUUGAAAGUAGAGAUUGAAGUCUG